GACGAACGCUGGCGGCGUGCCUAAUACAUGCAAGUCGAACGCUUCUUUCCUCCCGAGUGCUUGCACUCAAUUGGAAAGAGGAGUGGCGGACGGGUGAGUAACACGUGGGUAACCUACCCAUCAGGGGGGGAUGACACUUGGAAACAGGUGCUAAUACCGCAUAACAGUUUAUGCCGCAUGGCAUAAGAGUGAAAGGCGCUUUCGGGUGUCGCUGAUGGAUGGACCCGCGGUGCAUUAGCUAGUUGGUGAGGUAACGGCUCACCAAGGCCACGAUGCAUAGCCGACCUGAGAGGGUGAUCGGCCACACUGGGACUGAGACACGGCCCAGACUCCUACGGGAGGCAGCAGUAGGGAAUCUUCGGCAAUGGACGAAAGUCUGACCGAGCAACGCCGCGUGAGUGAAGAAGGUUUUCGGAUCGUAAAACUCUGUUGUUAGAGAAGAACAAGGACGUUAGUAACUGAACGUCCCCUGACGGUAUCUAACCAGAAAGCCACGGCUAACUACGUG
RNAcentral lists this ribosomal RNA (508 nucleotides) under uncultured bacterium. RNAcentral describes it as "partial 16S ribosomal RNA". It matches the Rfam family "Bacterial small subunit ribosomal RNA", at positions 28 to 507 of the family's 1533-position model. The record is from RNAcentral.